UCCCCAACGCCAAUCUCUCGCCACACCUUCCUUCCUCGCGGCGCUCCAUCCCUACGGCGCUGCCGCUGCAUGGUCAACACGCCGCCAUGCUAGGCCAUGCACCUAUCUCUCUUGCAGCCGCCCUCCUGACCUGCCGCCUCUCCCACACCAUCUCUGCCUAGCCGUCUCACUAGACGAAGAUGCAUACGAAGUCGAGACGCGUCCGGCUAAGGACCAUAUGCAGGUCAUUGUGCGGUACAGAAACUGUACUCUGAAUUUGUCACUACAGGUUGCAUGCAAUUUCUCACUGUUAGUUUCAGAUUUUUCCUAUUUUCUAUGUGUAUAUAGUAGAUGCUUCUAUUAAUCUGUGGCAUCUACAUUCAUCUUAUCUAAUUCAGUUAAAGUUUACAUUGAAAAUUUCCCAGAUCUCUUUUUAAUGCUGUACUUACCCAGAGCCUUUCUCUCCUGCUAGGCUAAUUUACAGAGUUUUACUGACCCGCAGUCGCUGUAUGUCUUUUCUUCAUUCAUUUGGUCAACUGAAUUUGUCAUCCAUAGUGUAAUUGCCUUUUGGGCUCCCCUUUGCACCAUCAGUUCUAACAAAAGAUUUUAUUCAAUAGUUAUUUGCGGACAAGAUUUUGAAGCUCAGUGAUGAAGUACACUUUCCCCAACAUGCCACUUUAGAGAAUAUAUAUCAACUUCUCUAAAUCUCGAAGUGCACAUGGGCGUUGCAUUUAUUUAUUUAGUUCCGUGUAGAGAUUCAAUCAUCUCAAUGGAGCCUUACAUGAUUUGCUCUUUUACUGAUGGACUGAGGAGGUCCGAGCUGUUUUCUGGUCUACCAUGUGGCAGCCUCUCUCACCAUGUCUGCACAUAGUGUUCAGGUUGGAGGUGAACAUGAACUCUGGCAAUACAAAAUACUCCUUGCGUCCCAAAAUUCUUGUCUUAAAUUUUCCUAGAUACAGAUGUAUCUUAUAUUAAAAUGUGACUUGAUACAUCCGUAUUUAGACAAAACUAAGACAAGAAUUCUGGGACGGAGGGAGUAGCAGAUAUAAAAUAACUGCAGCUCAGGCCAUUUAUUUCUACAACAACCAAGGAACAAGUCUGUUUUUUAAUGCGACCCUGGCCAAGCAAUUUAUGCUUAUAAGGGUGCUCUCUAUUUUUCAGAGGUGCGAGAGCGCCCAUAAUUCAGGGCAAAAAAGCUAGAUAAAGUGGAAAAUUUUGUAAGAGUGGUAUUUGAAGCUAGUGAUAGCAUGUUGAAGGAUGUUGAUUGUGGCUAUCCAACUUCAACAACGUGCUUGCAACUCAUGAGUGGCUAUCCAACUUCAAUAACAUUGUGGCUAUCUCAAUGUGAAUCCCACAGGCGGAGUUGUGGUCAAGUCCAACAAUUCAACUUCUGAAGAUAACAUGUAUUCCAAACCCAAGAGGGAACGAAUUACAACUACUUUUUUCAAUGUCUUAUUCAAAGUACGCAUCCUGUCAUGUUCACUCGGACGAUGACUGUACCUAUUAUAACUCCUUUUAAGAAAUUUGACAUCCUGCAUUCUUUACUA
Molecule: long non-coding RNA, 1526 nt
Organism: Triticum dicoccoides
Lineage: Eukaryota; Viridiplantae; Streptophyta; Magnoliopsida; Poales; Poaceae
Exons: 3
Source: RefSeq, a predicted model, not a curated record